UACGUAGGGUCCAAGCGUUAUCCGGAAUCACUGGGCGUAAAGCGUGCGUAGGCGGUUUGUUAAGUGAGAUGUUAAAGCGUGUGGCUCAACCAUAUCGUUGUAUCUCAUACUGGCAGACUUGAGGAAGGCAGAGGCAAGUGGAAUUGGCAGUGUAGCAGUGAAAUGCGUAGAGAUUGCCAGGAACACCAAUGGCGAAGGCAGCUUGCUGGGCCUUUUCUGACGCUGAGGUACGAAAGCGUGGGGAGCGAACAGG
RNAcentral lists this ribosomal RNA (253 nucleotides) under uncultured bacterium. RNAcentral describes it as "partial 16S ribosomal RNA". It matches the Rfam family "Bacterial small subunit ribosomal RNA", at positions 524 to 776 of the family's 1533-position model. The record is from RNAcentral.